This is a long non-coding RNA of Salvia splendens (bonfire salvia), 1024 nucleotides long. RefSeq lists it as uncharacterized. The record is from RefSeq and is a predicted model, not a curated record. NCBI's taxonomy places the organism in Eukaryota, Viridiplantae, Streptophyta, Magnoliopsida, Lamiales, Lamiaceae. The transcript is spliced from 3 exons.
CUCUUCCAAAAUCUCAGCGGUUAUUCUUAAUUGAGAUCACGUUCAAUCUGUCUUCUCUCCCAAAAAUGUAUGCGUCUAUACUCCAUUGAUAUCAUUACGGCUGAAGUUCACCGCUGCUUUUGUUUAUUGAAGAAAACCGUUUGUUUAUUUGUUGCUUACAUCGCCGAUUUGUUGGAGCGCGUCGUCGUUGCUUUUGAUUUACUGAACAAUGGAAGAAGUGGUGGUUGUACCUGACUGUUCUCCUGAGUUGAAGACUGUCAUCGGUCAGAAAUUCCAAUCCCUAGAUUUCGCUUUCACUUUUUACGAUGUAUAUGCCCGCGCUGUUGGUUUUGAUACGCGCAAACAAGGGAUGAGGAAGGUGGACGAUGUCACAACCUGGUAUUACGUUGUACGCAAUAGGGAAGGCAAUAGGAAGUCGGACGAAGAUGACCAAUUGAAUGCACGGUCUGGUUUCUCUAUCAAGCGCAGACGGUUAUCCAAGCGUUGUGGUUGUAAAGAGAGUAUAUCGGUAAAGUUUUUCUUCGAAUGAGGAUUACCAGGUUAUAUUAUCCAGGAGUUCAACGAGGCUCAUAACCAUCAUAUGGUUGAGUCAGAGCAUCAGCAAUUUAUGUCAAUCAAUCGAAAGUUGGAUAAUGUACAUCAGAAAUUCAUUCUUGACUAUUCCAAGGCUAAUAUAGGGCCCACACUUACAUUUAAAGUGUUGAAGGAAAUUCUCGGUGGGUUUGACCUUGUUGGUUACACUGUCGGGGAUAUCAGGAAUGCUUCUCGAGACAUCAAAGCAUACACACAUGAUUUGAUGUGCAAAUGGUGUUGGAUGAUAUGGCUAAGAAGAAGAAAAUGUCUGAGGCGUUCACAUAUCACUACGAAGUUAAUGCUUCUAACCAGUUGGUUGCUCUAUUUUGGUGUGACGGUUUGAUGAAGAGGAAUUACCACAUGUUUGGUGAUAUUGUAGCUUUUGACUCCACGUACAACACAAACAGGUACUGUAUGAUCUUCACUCCUUUCACUGGUAAGGAUAAUCAUG